AUACCAUGAUGAGGGCACUUUCGUAAUAACUCCUUAAGCUGCUCCCAUGCUUCAUAUAAAGAUUCUUUGUCAAGUUGAUGAAAUAAAGUGAUUUCAUUUCGGAUCUU
RNAcentral lists this small nucleolar RNA (107 nucleotides) under Gossypium barbadense (sea-island cotton). RNAcentral describes it as "Plant small nucleolar RNA R71". It matches the Rfam family "Plant small nucleolar RNA R71". From Rfam's summary of the family: R71 is a member of the C/D box family of snoRNAs containing the C (UGAUGA) and D (CUGA) box motifs. The record is from Rfam by way of RNAcentral. RNAcentral also lists the same sequence under 1 other name. Lineage: Eukaryota; Viridiplantae; Streptophyta; Magnoliopsida; Malvales; Malvaceae.